GCUGCAGAGGGAAGCGCCACACAGUGCCAUAUUAUCCACCUUAUUCAUAGCCCCCAUGAGGCUUUGCGUGAUUUAUGGGCGUGACUUCCGCCGCAAACUGGAACCGCCAUUUGUUUACAUGUUAGCAACUCGCUAACCGGCUUUCCACAGAGUUUUUAGGCUAUGAAAUAUGUUCGAGCUCCAGCUAUCACAGCUUAAAUGUGGCAAUAUUGUUUUACCACUACCUGAAGCUGUUGAGGGGUGGGAUGGCGACUUGAAGAAAUGGCCGCAAAUAACCCGCACUAGCAUAUUUAGCUACUUCACUGACUCAGUUGCUGCAGAUGCAGGUUUUCUUAUGUUGCGUUUUGUCCACACAAUGAAAUGAUCACACGUAAAACAUUUUGGGUUCUCUCUUCAAGUUUAGAAUUUUUAGCCAAAUUCUUUUUGUUUCCUUAUCUGUCGGUAGGUGAUGUAAACUACCACUUAUCACAGAUACACUGCCGUUUUGUUUUGGGAGCACGUUCGAGACACAUUGCUGCUGAAGCCACAAACUAAACUUGGUCAAAUUAUUAGAGUACAGCUACGAACAGCACAACAGUUACCCGAGCUCCACAAGGGCAUCAUACCCUUUCCAGUGGCAAAUUGCUCUCUAUAACAGGUUAAUGUGUGAUUCAGUUUGGUUCGGUUCUAGUCCAGUGGGGAGAUUCUCUGUAUUACGGUCUGGAGCGCAGGAGCUGAGGUAAUUUCUCCACUGAUUUGCAGCGUCACUCAGCAACAGAAAACCUUGAUUAAAUAAACUCAGAUGUGAGACUCUCAUCAUGAACUUUAUUAUCUUUUAAAUUCAAACAAAAUUCACAUCACACAAGCUGAUAUUAUGUAGUUCCAGUGUUUUACACUGUCACCGCAAAACAGCAGCUCAGAUCUCUGACCAGCUUCUCUGCUCUUAUCUUUAUUACUGAGUUCUUCAGAGGAGCAGCGUUGCUAAGUCACGAUCAUUCCAUUACAAAACUUAACAAUCGUGCUCCUGUCGCUCUCCACGAUUAAAGUCAUAAUUACGAUUCUCUGUACUGAGCAACUCUCUGAUAGCAGAUGGAUUGUCCGUAGACAAGUUUCACUAAGUAUUGUAUUACAACCGAAAAGAGAGUUGUAACCUCUAUCAUGAAAAUAGAUUAGCAAAAAACCCUACAAAUUACAAUGAAAUACUGCUACUUCCGGUGGGCGCCGGAAGUAAGACCCAUAAUCGUUUCCCCAGUAAGCCUCCCAGGAAUAAGGUGGAUAGCACAAUCAAGCAACUAUGUUGCCGUUAAAAAAAUGCUGAAUACUUCAAAUAUGACUUCAACUGAAAUUUGACUUUGUAAUUUAUUGCCUUGAAAUUGGGGCUGGGUGAUGUAUCGAGUGUACUCGAUGUAUCACGAUAUUUUCAAAUUACGAUAGUUAAAAUGGCUAUGUCGCAAUCAUCAAGUAUAAAUUGUCCUUCACAAAAUAAACGUUCACCGUCAAAUUCACUGCAAGUAACGUUUGUCCGACACCCCAUGAAUGCGUUACUAGUCCCUCUUCCCUCCCAACCUGAAAAUUUUCUACCAAUCACACUGCGCGGAAAAAAAUAAACAUGGUGACAGCGAGAGUUUGAGGCAAACCAUGAAUGAGACGGUAACUGAAGGGAAGACAAGAACGACUGGCGAAGAAGGUGUGGCAACCAGGAGCGUCGGUUGAGUUUCCCCGGAGAG
This is a long non-coding RNA of Xiphophorus hellerii (green swordtail), 1706 nucleotides long. RefSeq lists it as uncharacterized. The transcript is spliced from 3 exons. The record is from RefSeq and is a predicted model, not a curated record. Lineage: Eukaryota; Metazoa; Chordata; Actinopteri; Cyprinodontiformes; Poeciliidae.